CGGACGGGUGAGUAACGCGUGGAAAACCUGCCGUAUACUGGAGGAUAACACUUAGAAAUAGGUGCUAAUACCGCAUAAGCGCACAGCUUCGCAUGAAGCGGUGUGAAAAACUCUGGUGGUAUACGAUGGUUCCGCGUCUGAUUAGCUAGUUGGUGGGGUAAUGGCCUACCAAGGCAACGAUCAGUAGCCGGCCUGAGAGGGUGAACGGCCACAUUGGGACUGAGACACGGCCCAAACUCCUACGGGAGGCAGCAG
RNAcentral lists this ribosomal RNA (255 nucleotides) under uncultured bacterium. RNAcentral's name for it is "partial 16S ribosomal RNA". It matches the Rfam family "Bacterial small subunit ribosomal RNA", at positions 99 to 354 of the family's 1533-position model. The record is from RNAcentral.